GAUGAACGCUGGCGGCGUGCCUAAUACAUGCAAGUCGAGCGAACAGACUCGUAGUUUGCUCCUCUCACGUUUGCCGCGGACGUGUGUGUCACACGUGGAUACCCUCCCUCUCUGCCUGGGAUACCUUCGGGACUCCGUCGCUUAUCCCGGAUAAUAUAUUUUACCGUAUGGUUCUAUAGUGUUAGAUGGUUUUGCUGUCACUUCUCGAUGUAUCCGCGCCGUAUUAGCUAGGUGGCAUGGUAACGCCUUACCAAGGCGACGAUGCGUAGCCGAACUGAGAGGGUGAUAGGCCACACUGGAACUGAGACGCGGUCCAGACUCCUAAGGGAGGCAGCAGUAGGGAAUCUGACGCAAUGGGCGAAAGCCUGACGGAACAACGCCGCGUGAGUGAUGAAGGUCUUCGGAGCGGAAAAAUCUGUUAUUAGGGAAGAACAAAUGUGUAAGUAACUAUGCACGUCUUGACGGUACCUAAUCAGAAAGCCACGGCUAACUACGUG
This 497-nucleotide ribosomal RNA is filed under the name uncultured bacterium. RNAcentral's name for it is "partial 16S ribosomal RNA". It matches the Rfam family "Bacterial small subunit ribosomal RNA", at positions 28 to 507 of the family's 1533-position model. The record is from RNAcentral.